This 846-nucleotide ribosomal RNA is filed under the name uncultured bacterium. RNAcentral describes it as "bacterial SSU rRNA". It matches the Rfam family "Bacterial small subunit ribosomal RNA", at positions 28 to 897 of the family's 1533-position model. The record is from RNAcentral.
GAUGAACGCUGGCGGCGUGCUUAACACAUGCAAGUCGAACGGGCCGGUUUUCGGAUCGGCCAGUGGCGGACGGGUGCGUAACACGUAGGUGACCUGCCCUGGAGUGGGGAAUAAUUCCGCGAAAGCGGGACUAAUACCGCAUGUGGUCGUCGAUUCGGUUGGGCGAUGAAAGCCGGAAGGCGCUCCAGGAUGGGCCUGCGGCGGAUUAGCUAGUUGGUGGGGUAAGGGCCUACCAAGGCGAUGAUCCGUAGGGGGCGUGAGAGCGUGGCCCCCCACAUUGGCACUGAGACACGGGCCAAACUCCUACGGGAGGCAGCAGUGAGGAAUAUUGCACAAUGGGGGCAACCCUGAUGCAGCAACGCCGCGUGGGGGACGAAGGCCUUCGGGUCGUAAACCUCUUUUCUGAGGGAAGAGACGAGGACGGUACCUCAGGAAUAAGUCUCGGCUAACUACGUGCCAGCAGCCGCGGUAAAACGUAGGAGGCGAGCGUUAUCCGGAUUUACUGGGCGUAAAGCGCGCGCAGGCGGCUCGGCAAGUUGGACGUGAAAGCUCCCGGCUUAACUGGGAGAGGCCGUUCGAAACUACCGGGCUUGAGGUUGGGAGAGGGGUGUGGAAUUCCCGGUGUAGUGGUGGAAUGCGUAGAUAUCGGGAGGAACACCAGUGGCGAAGGCGGCACCCUGGCCCACACCUGACGCUGAGGUGCGAAAGCGUGGGGAGUAAACAGGAUUAGAUACCCUGGUAAUCCACGCCGUAAACGAUGUCAACUAGGUGUCGGUAGUGUUACACUAUCGGUGCCGUAGCUAACGCGUUAAGUUGACCGCCUGGGGACUACGGCCGCAAGGCUAA